Oryzias latipes (Japanese medaka) is the source of this 2647-nucleotide long non-coding RNA. RefSeq lists it as uncharacterized. The record is from RefSeq and is a predicted model, not a curated record. Lineage: Eukaryota; Metazoa; Chordata; Actinopteri; Beloniformes; Adrianichthyidae.
UGUUACAUUUACUUUUGACCAUUUUUGAAAAUUAUUUUUAAGCAACUCAUAAAUUUUGCUACAUAUAACAGAAAUUUAAAUAGAAACCAACCAUCAAUAUCGUAAAACAGUGAAACAAUCUUAAAUAUUGUGUCGGAGAAGAUUUUUGUAUACGUGCUGGUACAUAUGUUUUAUUUAUAUAGGAAGAAAAAACUUUUAAAGCAUUUUUUUUAUGAAAGCCAAGUUCAGCUCAAUUUCGUAAACAUAUUUGAAUAUACAAUUUUUCAUAUUUUCAAUAUUUGUUUGUAUUUUAGUUUUAUAGUCUUUAUUACGCCAAUAUAUGCAUUUAAUAUGAUAAAUGGAGAGGACUUGCAUUUGUAAACCUUCCACAAAUAACAUUUUGGAUUGAUUAUUAAUUUUCUAUACUAUUUUUCUUGUAAAACUAUGAUAUUUCCUAUAAUGUUCCAUUACUUUUUAUCGCUUAGGAGAUGCAUAAACCUUACAAAAUGACAUAUGAUGCGUGCAAAACAAACUAAUUCAUCACCUCUGAAGUUAUGAGUCAUUUCAAUUUAAAAUGAUCAGGAAUCUUUUGUUUCUUGUUUAUUUGGUGUCAUCUUCUGCACAAAUUACACUCAUAUGUUACAGAACAGCCCACUGAAUUUUUCGGCUUUGCAAAUUUCGACGAAAAAUCGAAACCUAGGCAGAUUCCAUCCGGAUGUGUGCCUUUGUAGAGGGGUUACUAUAGCGACAGAGACGCAAGUCCGUCAUCAGCCUCAGCCAGCUGCGUCAGAGGAGGAGAUGGCGGUUCCUGUUUCUGAGAAAGCAGCGCGAGCCGCGCCGCUCCUCGCUCUGCAAAUCCUGCCUCUUUACGCCCACGCGCUCCACUCCUUCACCUGUCGCUGCCUACCUGCGCCACGGUUACAGUUGCCAUGGCUACACAACAGGUAAACAAGGGUGGAGAUAAGGCGGGGUGAUGGGACGGGCUCUCCUUUAUAGCAGCGAUUAGUUACGAAGCGAAAAAACAAACAAAGAUGCAACAUUUAAAGGAAAAGAAAAGAAACUGUACGUAAAUGGGGAAAAGAUUGCAGUUCGAGUAUUCUGUCAAUUUUCUUUAUACGUUGUUAUAAUGUAUAUUUGUGCCAUUAAGACAGGAACAUAAAACUGUGAUUGAAUGUUUACAUUGUUGUGAAAAAACAUUUCCCGGUAUGGCCCUUCUCAGCCACCGUAGAACUAUGUAAAACAGACCCACACAAAUGAAACUUUAUGGGUAAUGGUCAGAAAUAUUGAUGCAGCUACAAAUUACUUAAUAUACUUCAUGGGUCAUUCCAGAAGUGGAGGACAUUUAACGUCCCACUGUCAUUUUUCAAAUACACCACAUAAGUCAAAACUAAAACAUGUCGGUUUUGAACACAUUUACUUCACAAGAGACCAAAUCUGCAAAAACUAAGCAAAAAGAGUGCUUGAAAAUAUUUUUAAAGACCAAAUAAGUAUGGAAUAUCCCCUAAAAUGCGAUUAUUCCCUUGUCCCACCUCCCUAAUGUCCUAAUUAAUUCAUAAAUAAAAGUUCAAAUUAAAUCACAAUGCCAUUUUUUGUAUCAUUUUGAUCAUUGUGUAUCAUUAAUGUCUCUUGUAACUGUGGGAACAUUUUCUUUAAUAAGCAAAAUAUGUCCAAUAAUUAUUAUCAAUGGAACGUGUGUCCCAAAACAUGCACCCACCCGUUGCCAUAACCUUUUAGCGCGGUAGCAAAAGAAUCUAGCAGAGAAACAUAUGAUAUGCUGGACAUGACAUCAUCAAACAGUUUUCCAAAACAACAUGUGGAGCAAAAGAAUCCCCUCUUUUCUAUUUUUUAUGUUAUAGUUAGCCAAAAUCGAAUGUCUGACCCUACCCUGUGGUGCAUAUAUUUAGUGUAAGACAAUUGUUUAUUCAAUUAUUUAUUCUUAUGUACAUAAGUCCGUUUGUCCUCUUGGUUUUCAGUAACAGCAGUCUAAACAGUUAGUGUUUGUUACAGAUUUGAAACCCUGUACCUGAAAAAAUUGGUAACUUAAUUCUGUAAUCAUUAAAGAUAUAAUGUAUUCUACAAUUGAUCUGUAAGUUGAGCUAAUCAAGGGUUUGAUGGUUUAUUACCUAUUAUUGAUAAAUAUGUAGCAGAAAAUCAUGAAUUUUUGGAGCCCAAAUGUCCUUCAAUUCUAAAAUGACCUUAAUGAAUUUAAAGUUUGGGGGGAAAUUAGCUUUGGAACGACUGUCUACAAUGGAAACCAACGUAAUUAUGUAAUAUGCAGAGAUCCAUCUGCUGUGUGGUUCUCUUCGUCCACUUCCCUCAGAUCUGCCCCACCCUGCAGCUGUGCAGCCGGUCAGCGCUCCCCACCUCCUCCCAGUCCUGGGUUCUCACCAUAAAAAGCUGCCAAUCUGGCUGGGGGAAGACAUAAUUGCCAUUAUGACUGCUGCAGGCCAGCACAUCACAGAGAGCGCUGCUUGUUCUACGGAGGAGGGGAGGAGUGGGGGACACUGUCUGCACUGUGCAGGCGCCACUCAAUAUUAUCGUAGCGUGACUUCAGCUCAUUCACAUACAAACACACAGGGUGCCGUUUUCAUCCCACUCCGUCUUUCUGUAAUCUUUCAGUCAUGCAUGAAGCAAACAUCGAUUUUCUAUAGGGCUAAAAAAAAAAAAA